This 216-nucleotide long non-coding RNA is filed under the name Solanum tuberosum (potato). RNAcentral describes it as "long non-coding RNA (STUB_LNC005704)". Lineage: Eukaryota; Viridiplantae; Streptophyta; Magnoliopsida; Solanales; Solanaceae. The record is from RNAcentral.
UUAUAGCAAGUGAGAGAAAACCUCCAUUGUUGAAUUCUCUGUUUUCUUCCAUGGCGGAUUUCUCUUUUACAAUGAAAAGAGAGUGCAGGGACUAGAGUUUUCUUUUCGGAUAUCGACAAGAUUCAUCAGCCAACAAUCCAAUUUCAGUCUUUUCUCACUGAAAUUGUCACACCCACAGGCCUAAAAUCACACGUUAAGGGGAGAAGAAAGAGCAGG